AUUGGAUUGGAUUGUAUCUUGCCCAUUUCAAACUAUUUUGCUGUUCUUUGAAAAAAAAGACAUGAUGCUGAUUUAGAACUGCAUAAAUGAAACACCCAUGUAAAUUUAAAAUGAGCAAGACAUAUGACACUGGGGUCAGGACUUCAUGGAAAUAACUUCAUCUCACUCUCCUCUGUGCCAGGCAUACCCACUGCCACUGGACCUCCCACUUCUCAUCUAUAUAAAGUCUCCGUCUGGCAGUGACAGUCUUUGGUCGUAAUGGACAGUUGGGUGAGGGCAAAUCUGGGAGAAAUAUGUUAAAACCUUAACAGCGAACGUCUUUUCUACUUGUUUUGUCAGUACAUCAAAAAGGCUACAAAAACCACAUCUGUUGGCAGAAAGAAGGGGAACCGGCACAGCCACUGGUUGGAUCAGUUUCUGUCAGACUGCUUCAGAUCCUGUCUGGUGGGUUUUAGGUGCUGUGAAACUUCACUUGUUCAUGUCAUGUGGAGGCACUUUCAGUGGAAGAAUGUGCAUUAGGAAUCAAUGUUUUCCCCCCAACAGAUAGUUGCAACUGGGCCUGUAACCUUUGAUUUGUUAACUGAAUAAUAAUCAAGAAAUAAAUGGCCAAUUAUUUUGCUAA
This is a long non-coding RNA of Solea senegalensis (Senegalese sole), 622 nucleotides long. RefSeq lists it as uncharacterized. Lineage: Eukaryota; Metazoa; Chordata; Actinopteri; Pleuronectiformes; Soleidae. The record is from RefSeq and is a predicted model, not a curated record. The transcript is spliced from 2 exons.